Molecule: transfer RNA, 75 nt
Filed under: Planctomycetaceae bacterium
Lineage: Bacteria; Pseudomonadati; Planctomycetota; Planctomycetia; Planctomycetales; Planctomycetaceae
Also listed under: 1 other name
Description: tRNA-Cys
Rfam family: tRNA
About the family: Transfer RNA (tRNA) molecules are approximately 80 nucleotides in length. Their secondary structure includes four short double-helical elements and three loops (D, anti-codon, and T loops).
Source: RNAcentral
GGUGGCGUAGCCAAGUGGUUAGGCAACUGAUUGCAAAUCAGUCACACGUCGGUUCGACUCCGACCGCCACCUCCA